Molecule: unclassified non-coding RNA, 1336 nt
Filed under: Orussus abietinus
Lineage: Eukaryota; Metazoa; Arthropoda; Insecta; Hymenoptera; Orussidae
Description: rNA-binding protein squid, transcript variant X6
Source: RNAcentral
CAUUCGGCAGCCGAGCAAUACGGACGCGGAGUGUCUGUCGACUCGUGAAGUGUUAAGAAGUACUGAGUCUGUUUAAAUUCGGAGAAGCGCGGUGUUUUCAGUGUUCGUAACCGUAGGAAACUAGACAGAUAUUCAAAUAUGGCCGAUCAGGAGAACAAGGACUUCAGCGAGGACGUGGCCGACCAAAGCUUCGAGCAGAACGGUGAGGCCGAAAACGGCGGCGGCGACGCCGCGGAAAAUGGCCAGGAGUCUCAGGAAGAAAGGUCGGCCGGAGGUAACCAGGAGUCUCUGAAUGAUAGGAAAUUGUUUGUUGGGGGCCUUAGCUGGGAAACCACAGAUAAGGAGCUGAGGGAUCAUUUUGGUACAUACGGUGAUAUAGAAAGUAUCAAUGUCAAGACAGAUUCCAUUACUGGAAGAUCACGAGGUUUUGCAUUUAUCGUUUUCGCCAAGGCGGAAUCACUCGAUAAGAUUAUGGCUGCUGGUGAUCACGUUAUUAAUAAUAAGAAAGUCGACCCGAAGAAAGCUAAGGCUCGACAUGGCAAAAUAUUCGUUGGAGGGCUAUCGACAGAGUUGUCUGACGAUGACAUUAAAAAUUUCUUCUCUCAGUUUGGAACGAUAGUCGACGUUGAAAUGCCGUUUGACAAGACAAAGAACCAGAGGAAAGGGUUCUGCUUCAUUACUUUUGAAUCAGAACAGGUUGUGAACGAGCUCCUUAAAACCUCGAAACAAACGAUUAACGGCAAAGAGGUCGACGUGAAAAAGGCAACGCCGAAGCCGGACGGAAUGGGUGGCAUGCGAGGUGGUGCUGGUGGUCGAGGUGGACGCGGAGGUCGCGGAGGACGAGGUCGAGGAUUUGGCGGCCAAGGCGGCUGGGGCCAAGGGGGUUACGGAGGUGGUUAUGGACAAGGAGGCUAUGGAGGCGGUUACGACGGUUACGGAGCCGCCGGAUACGACUACUAUGGUGGCGGAUACGGCGGCUACGGAGGGUACGACUACAGCGGAUACGACGGCUACGGCUAUGGCAGUGGUAGUUACGAUGGUGGCUACAGUGGUGGGCGCGGUGGUGCACGCGGUAAAGGAGGCUCAGGCUACGGCGGCAAGCAGCGAGGUGGUGGUCGCCAGAACCAAAGGCACCAACCCUAUUAAAAAAUGGGAUUCCUUAAUUGCGACCGCAAUGCAAUUUGCAUUGUAACCGCUGGUUUCCCGUCCUAUAACAAAUCUCAUAACUCGUCAAAUCAUCAUUCCAUUAAACCUCCUCACCCUCAGCAAGAACUACGACAACGCAGACAACUGCCGCAGAGCAAACUCAGUCAUCGAGAUUCACAAGAAAUGCAGU